This 102-nucleotide small RNA is filed under the name Arsenophonus endosymbiont of Aleurodicus floccissimus. RNAcentral's name for it is "Trp_leader". It matches the Rfam family "Tryptophan operon leader". Rfam says of the family: At least 6 amino acid operons are known to be regulated by attenuation. In each a leader sequence of 150-200 bp is found upstream of the first gene in the operon. This leader sequence can assume two different secondary structures known as the terminator and the anti-terminator structure. Lineage: Bacteria; Pseudomonadati; Pseudomonadota; Gammaproteobacteria; Enterobacterales; Morganellaceae. The record is from RNAcentral.
AUCCGUUGGUGGCAAAACUCCCUUAAAUGGGCGGUUUCUUCCUGCGCGUGAAUUAAUAACGCAACACCAGAUCAAGACCCGCCAUGAAGCGGGUUUUUUUAU